GAGGGUAUAGCUCAAGUGGUAGAGCACAUGCUUAGCAUACACAAGUUCCCGGGUUCAAUCCCCAGUACCUCCU
Molecule: transfer RNA, 73 nt
Organism: Camelus ferus (Wild Bactrian camel)
Lineage: Eukaryota; Metazoa; Chordata; Mammalia; Artiodactyla; Camelidae
Rfam family: tRNA
About the family: Transfer RNA (tRNA) molecules are approximately 80 nucleotides in length. Their secondary structure includes four short double-helical elements and three loops (D, anti-codon, and T loops).
Source: Rfam